AUUCCAGCUCCAAUAGCGUAUAUUUAAGUUGUUGCAGUUAAAAAGCUCGUAGUUGGAUUUCGGGCCCAGGUGACCGGUCCGCCGUUUCGGUGUGCACUGGUUAGCUCGGUCUUUCUGCCGGGGACACGCUCCGUCUUAAUUGCCGGACGUGGAGUCGGCGAUGUUACUUUGAAAAAAUUAGAGUGUUCAAAGCAGGCUUACGCUCUGAAUACUAUAGCAUGGAAUAACACGAUAGGACUCCGAGCCUAUUUUGUUGGUCUUCGGGACCGGAGUAAUGAUUAAGAGGGACAGUUGGGGGCAUUCGUAUUACGGUGUCAGAGGUGAAAUUCUUGGAUUUCCGUAAGACGAACUUAUGCGAAAGCAUUUACCAUGGAUGUUUUCAUUA
Molecule: ribosomal RNA, 385 nt
Filed under: prasinophyte sp.
Lineage: Eukaryota; Viridiplantae; Chlorophyta
Description: partial small subunit ribosomal RNA
Rfam family: Eukaryotic small subunit ribosomal RNA
Source: RNAcentral